RNAcentral lists this unclassified non-coding RNA (263 nucleotides) under plant metagenome. RNAcentral's name for it is "partial contains small subunit ribosomal RNA, internal transcribed spacer 1, and 5.8S ribosomal RNA". The record is from RNAcentral.
UUUCCGUAGGUGAACCUGCGGAGGGUUCAUUAUUGUAUAACCGAGGUGCGAGGGCUGUCGCUGACCCGAAAGGUCGUGCACGCUCGAGUGCCCUCACACACAUCCAUCUCACCCCUAUGUGCACCACCGCGUGGGUCCCCCUUUGGCUUGUUCGGAGGGGGGCUUACGUUUUCACACAAACUUUGUAUGCAGUGUAGAAUGUAUUUUUUGUUUUUGCGAUCACGCAAUCAAUACAACUUUCAACAACGGAUCUCUUGGCUCUC